GAUGUACUCCCUCCGUCCCAUAUUAAGUGACUCAAAUUUGUCCAAAUAUGGAUGUAUCUAUGCUUAAAAAGCGUCUAGAUACAUGUAAUAGAAAGUCACUUAAUAUGGGACGGAGGGAGUAUAUC
Non-coding RNA from Brachypodium distachyon (stiff brome), 125 nucleotides. Lineage: Eukaryota; Viridiplantae; Streptophyta; Magnoliopsida; Poales; Poaceae. The record is from Rfam.